UAUAUGUCAUAAUUUCAAAAUUAAGGAGUUGGUAAUGCAACCGACAGUCGCAUUUUAUUCGAAAUGUUCUGCCGAGUCUGAAGAGCUUAGUCUAUUUUAGGGGAUUCCCCACGAAUCGAACUGCACUUGGCACUGCACUGGGCCUCACUACAUGGAACCGCGCAGUCUCCUUCAGCAUGCAUUUUCCCAAUAGCUUGCGCUCGCUACGUGCACGGUAAUGCUUGUCCGUUUCUGCUCUAGAUUUCUGUGUGGAAAUGUGACACCUUUUUUCCUCGCGCAGAUUCACUUCUGGAUUUAUCUAGUUGAUCAUGUUGAGUUUGGCUAUAAAAUGGAUUUAAUGUAUUGUCGGAUAUACGCAAUUGAACAUGAUAAUCUGCUUUGAUGAAAACAUGUGAUGGCGCUACUUCACUUGUGGAAGUUCGGCAAGACGAGAGGAGUCGGACCAAAACCUGCACCGGUCGUCUACAGUCAGACCGCAGGUCCCUAUUCUAAUGAGCAAAAAGGCCAGAUUCAUACAAAUCAUCUCGUGGCUGAAUCCUCCUCCUUGCAAAAUCUCGUGAUUCGUGAGAAUUUCUUUCUCUAAGAAUAUACCUGUUUUAACCUCAAGUUAAAUGAAAUAUUAUUGCAACAUCAGAUAGAGUAAAUGUUAUUCUUUCAUAUUGGUCAUUUAUUUUGUAUACAAUAUUUUGAUAAAUAAGUAAAUUUCUGGCCUGAAAAUGUGCCUCAAAACUGAAUUUUCUUCCUCUGUGUUCUUUUGCAAAUUGUGCAAAAAAAAUUUAUUUUGAGACUCAGUGAUAUAUAUAUCACCAUAAAGCUGAACUUCUGUACUUUCUCACAAUGCCACUUUUGAUAUGCGGCACCUUUUAAUCGGGUCAAGAUCACACUUUUCCCACCAAGGUACAAGACGAGAUUUCUGAAAUUUUGUACUUGCAUGAAAUCCAGAGUUCUGAUUGGCUGGAUAAGGUUCACAGAACAACAGACGCGGGAAAUUUGAGGAGAUUACCACAUGGGAAGUGUGACUUUCCCAUGAACCCAGGCACUGGAACCGUUGGAAUUAGCCAGUGUGUGGUCUCUUUGACCAAUCAGAGUACAGUAUUCUUGUUUUCAAGCUGCUUUAUGUACUUGGCCAAUGAAAAGUGUGAUCUUGACCCGAUUAAACCAAUUCUUAUUUUGAAACCUAUACCAUUUUAAAGCACACAUAUUCAGAUUUAUCAUGAUUUAAAAAUCAUUUGGGUUCAAACAAAAAUAAAGUGUGAAAAUAGCAGCUUUCGUCAGGUGAAAAUAAUUAUUUUGUAGCAUAUUUUAGAUCAAAAUUUUAACCUAUAUUACAAAAUCUACGAAUAAAUUCAAACACAUGACCUGAAAGAAUGAUUCUUCUUCUUUACAAUGAUAUCAAAAUCAUGAAAUUUGAUGCACAAUUAGAGCAGCAAUGACCGAAUGAAAAGAAGUGUUUUGGUCCGCAUCAAGUUCAUUAAAUAUGCAAAACAUCUCAAGUCAUGAAUAUCACUUGGAUGAAAGAAGCCACUUUCUUGGGACCUGCCGACUGACUGUAUACAUGGUAUAUAACAGCAAUAUUAACAAAUUGUUUGUAAUAGGUCCAUGGUGUUAUCAACAGGCCUGGGGUAGAUCCGGUGUUUGGGGAUGUGGGGGGGGGGGGCAACGGACCUUAAUUUCUUCUUUUGUUUUACUUGUCAAUUUUUAUUGAUGCAAAUUAGUGAUUUAAAGAAAAAUAUUUUCUUUUAUGUGAAUUUGACCUCAGCUAUAUUUUCGGUUGGCAGCAUUUUUUGUACACAGCUGGACCAAGUUUUGGCGAGUUAGCGCCGUGUUUUUGUUGUUGUUGAUUGGUUUUUUAACGGCGCUCUCAUAAAAAAAAAGAAUACAUGCACCAAAACAUGCUAACAUGAUCUUUUAUUUCCGAGGGAAGGGGGGGGGGGGGUCCAGACAUGAGUGAUAGACCAACUGUUCUUAAACGUGUAUAAAAUACAAUGAAAAAGGUAACAUUUUUACAUAAUAAUGUAACUAUUCUUAUUUAUAUAUACAUGUAUUCAAGGUGAAUAGGAAUAUUGCUAUACUUUAACUGAACUAAACUUUUAUCCGUCUUUUAUUGCCAAAAUGGCUUUUGGAAGAUGUUUCUCAUUGUAUUGAUUUUAACCAGUGUGGUAACAUUCCUGGAUUAUCAACAUCGCAUUAUCUUAUCAAAUCAUUACAAAGUAUUUUAGAAAAUUGUGAGAAACCCAAAUCUAUAUCAAUUAUUAUGUAUUGAUUUUUCCAAAGCGUUUGACAAAUUGGACCACAAUAUUUUAGUUAAAAAAUAAUUAAUCUAAGAGUUAGGCCGUUUAUUAUUGAUUGGAUUAUUUUUUUUUUUAGAAAUAGGAUAUCAGUGUGUAAAAUACCAGAACAAAUUUUCAGAAUAUGUAACCACCCAUGCCGGAGUGCCCCAAGGUACGAAAUUAGGACCCAUUUUAUUUUUUAUUAUGUUUAAUGAUGCUUGUCAAAAACAAUGUUGCCAUAUUUUGAAUACGUUGAUGACCUAACUGUACUUGAAAAAAAAAUCAAUAUUAAAAAAUGUAUUAGAUGGUUUUAGAAUUGACUGACAGUCAACAUAUGAAGCUAAAUCCUAAUAAGUAAAUAACAAUGAACAUAUUAACUGAAAAAAUGCACCCUUUUGCCAGUUUUUGCAUAUUGGAAAACCAGAACUGCCGUACGUUGAUCCUUUAAAGAUCUUAGGAGUUUGUAUCCAACAUAAUUCAAAAUGGGACUUUCAUAUAAAUGAAAUGUUAAAAAAGUGCAAUCAAAAGCUCUAUAUGUUUAGAUUAGUGACAAAAUAUAAAUUACCAAUUUCUGACUUAAAUUCAAAAUCGGAUAUAUCCGCCUUGUCUUACAAUAUUGUGUGCCUGUUAACGGAAGUUCAACUUUAGACCAUGUACAAAUAAAGAAAAAAGAAUCCAAAAAAAGUUUGUAAAAUUAUCCAAGGCAAAAGUUAUUUAAAUUAUGAAGAUGCCUUAAAACGAUGUAAACUGGAUACACUAAAAGAUAGGCGUGAACAAUUGUUAUGAUUUUGCAGUAUAUGUAUAUGUUACCGGAAAGAAAUGUUGUUGGCAUGAUUCUCCGCAAUAAUGCAGGACCUCCCGUUUUAAACAUAUAGUACAAUACCUAAUGUUAUCAAUCUCCUAAAUAAAUGCUGCACUGCACCUUUCACUAUAA
Lytechinus pictus (painted urchin) is the source of this 3204-nucleotide long non-coding RNA. RefSeq lists it as uncharacterized. The transcript has 2 exons. Lineage: Eukaryota; Metazoa; Echinodermata; Echinoidea; Temnopleuroida; Toxopneustidae. The record is from RefSeq and is a predicted model, not a curated record.